UACGAAGGGGGCUAGCGUUGUUCGGAAUUACUGGGCGUAAAGCGCACGUAGGCGGAUGUUUAAGUUAGGGGUGAAAUCCCAGGGCUCAACCCUGGAACUGCCUCUAAUACUGGGCAUCUAGAGUCCGAGAGAGGUGAGUGGAAUUCCGAGUGUAGAGGUGAAAUUCGUAGAUAUUCGGAGGAACACCAGUGGCGAAGGCGGCUCACUGGCUCGGUACUGACGCUGAGGUGCGAAAGCGUGGGGAGCAAACAGG
This 253-nucleotide ribosomal RNA is filed under the name uncultured bacterium. RNAcentral describes it as "partial 16S ribosomal RNA". It matches the Rfam family "Bacterial small subunit ribosomal RNA", at positions 524 to 776 of the family's 1533-position model. The record is from RNAcentral. RNAcentral also lists the same sequence under 1 other name.